Branchiostoma floridae (Florida lancelet) is the source of this 500-nucleotide long non-coding RNA. RefSeq lists it as uncharacterized. The record is from RefSeq and is a predicted model, not a curated record. Lineage: Eukaryota; Metazoa; Chordata; Leptocardii; Amphioxiformes; Branchiostomatidae. The transcript is spliced from 4 exons.
GGAAUAUUUAGUCCAGACCCUAGCCCUAGUUCAUCAUUUUCCGCACUUUCGUCUCUUGAAGCAAGUCGCAUCGACAGGACAAGUACUCACUGCAUCAUGAAUUGGAAGUUGACCGUCUGCAUUCUUCUUGUCGUCAUGGCAACGCUGAUUGACACCUCCGAGGGCUGGGCGCGCAGGCGCAGAGACUCGGUUGCAAGGUCCUCGGAUAAACGUCGACUGGGUUAUGCAGUGGAGCCGGGAACACUCGAGAUUGCCUACGAGAAGACCCGAGGGCUGAUACAACAGCUGAGGAGCUGGCUUGAGUGGAGCUUGGGAGCGCAGGCGUCUUAAGAAAGAUGGCUACCGGAAGUGACGUCAACUGAGCCGGUGACCAAUCGAAUUCUCUGAAGCUCCCAUUUGAGGUGACGUCACAGUAGAGAGCAAACGUAGAGAAUAUCCACGAUGUGAGCAGAACUUGGCGAUGAUUAUUGGUGGAAUGAAAUAAAAGAUUUGACAUCGUG